AGCUUUAUAGUCAAAAAUGAUAUAAAAUUGCAAAUUUUAAGGAAUAUUAUAUAAAUAUUAAGGCUU
This 66-nucleotide transfer RNA is filed under the name Triuncina daii. RNAcentral's name for it is "tRNA-Cys". Lineage: Eukaryota; Metazoa; Arthropoda; Insecta; Lepidoptera; Bombycidae. The record is from RNAcentral.